RNAcentral lists this unclassified non-coding RNA (378 nucleotides) under plant metagenome. RNAcentral's name for it is "partial contains 5.8S ribosomal RNA, internal transcribed spacer 2, and large subunit ribosomal RNA". The stretch from base 1 to 105 matches the Rfam family "5.8S ribosomal RNA", at positions 50 to 154 of the family's 154-position model. The record is from RNAcentral.
GAAAUGCGAUAAGUAAUGUGAAUUGCAGAAUUCAGUGAAUCAUCUAAUCUUUGAACGCACCUUGCGCUCCUUGGUAUUCCUUGGAGCAUGCCUGUUUGAGUAUCAUGAAAUCUUCAAAGUAAAUCUUUUGUUAACUCAAUUGGUUUCUACUUUGGUAUUGGAGGUCUUUGCAGCUUCACACCUGCUCCUCUUUGUUCAUUAGCUGGAUCUCAGUGUUAUGCUUGGUUCCACUCGGCGUGAUAAGUUAUCUAUCGCUGAGGACACUGUAAAAGGUGGCCAAGGUAAAUGCAGAUGAACCGCUUCUAAUAGUCCAUGGACUUGGACAAUACUUUUAUGAUCUGAUCUCAAAUCAGGUAGGACUACCCGCUGAACUUAAGC